RNAcentral lists this ribosomal RNA (638 nucleotides) under Propionicimonas sp. Se1Ps_1941. RNAcentral describes it as "bacterial SSU rRNA". It matches the Rfam family "Bacterial small subunit ribosomal RNA", at positions 379 to 1028 of the family's 1533-position model. The record is from RNAcentral. Lineage: Bacteria; Bacillati; Actinomycetota; Actinomycetes; Propionibacteriales; Nocardioidaceae.
AAGCCUGACGCAGCAACGCCGCGUGCGGGAUGACGGCCUUCGGGUUGUAAACCGCUUUCAGCAGGGACGAAGGGUCACCUUGACGGUACCUGCAGAAGAAGCACCGGCUAACUACGUGCCAGCAGCCGCGGUGAUACGUAGGGUGCGAGCGUUGUCCGGAAUUAUUGGGCGUAAAGAGCUUGUAGGCGGUCUGUUGCGUCGGAAGUGAAAACUCAGGGCUUAACCCUGAGCCUGCUUUCGAUACGGGCAGACUUGAGGGAUGUAGGGGAGAACGGAAUUCCUGGUGGAGCGGUGGAAUGCGCAGAUAUCAGGAGGAACACCAGUGGCGAAGGCGGUUCUCUGGACAUUUCCUGACGCUGAGAAGCGAAAGCGUGGGGAGCAAACAGGCUUAGAUACCCUGGUAGUCCACGCCGUAAACGGUGGGCACUAGGUGUGGGUUCCAUUCCACGGAAUCCGUGCCGAAGCUAACGCAUUAAGUGCCCCGCCUGGGGAGUACGGCCGCAAGGCUAAAACUCAAAGGAAUUGACGGGGGCCCGCACAAGCGGCGGAGCAUGCGGAUUAAUUCGAUGCAACGCGAAGAACCUUACCUGGGUUUGACAUAUGCCGGAAACACCUAGAGAUAGGUGCCCCGCAAGGCC